This 274-nucleotide long non-coding RNA is filed under the name Phasianus colchicus (ring-necked pheasant). Its description in RNAcentral is "lncRNA (ENSPCLG00000008920.1)". Lineage: Eukaryota; Metazoa; Chordata; Aves; Galliformes; Phasianidae. The record is from RNAcentral.
GGAAAGGGCAAAAAUGCCCCUCACCUGUUGUGUGGGUUGAAAAACAAGAAGUUAUUUAAUGCUGUGUUAGUGGUAGCUGUGAAUUUAGAGAGAACUUGUUGGGUUGCUAGCUGUUUCUUUGUACCUGAGAGCUAGUAGGGUAGUGGGUCUCUGGUGGAAGGAAGAGCCUGAAGUGAGGAGUCUUUGCUGGUUAUCCUCAGGUGGGGAAAGAGAAAGAAGAAAUUUAUCUCUAUCUAGCAGAGCUAUGCAGAGAGUAAAUCCAAAUACAGCUUCC